CGCAUCUGUGCAUGCAGCAUAUCAAUAAGCGGAGGAAAAGGUAAAUGCUGUAUACCUACGCUUAGGAUGUUGACACACGCGCGUGCUCGAUCUAUACAUGACUCUGCGCAUAUCAAUAAGCGGAGGAAAAGAGGGCUAUUACCUACGCUUAGGAUGUUGACACACGCGCGUGCUCGACUCUAUACAUGACUCUGUGCAUAUCAAUAAGCGGAGGAAAAGAAACUAACAAGGAUUCCCUUAGUAACGGCGAGUGAAGCGGGAAGAGCUCAAAUUUGAAAUCUUCAAGGUUUUACCUUGACGAAUUGUAGUUUAAAGAAGUGUUUUCUGUUGAAGUUUUGGUAAAAGUUCUUUGGAAUAGGACAUCAUAGAGGGUGAGAAUCCCGUAUUUGACCAUUAUUUUCAGCUGUGUGAUACACUUUCAAAGAGUCGGAUUGUUUGGGAAUGCAGUCCAAAAUGGGUGGUAAAUUUCAUCUAAAGCUAAAUAUUGGCGAGAGACCGAUAGCGAACAAGUACCGUGAGGGAAAGAUGAAAAGAACCUUGAAAAGAGAGUUAAACAGUACGUGAAAUUGUCAAAAGGGAAGCGUUUGACACCAGUGUUGUUUUCUCGAAAAUCAAUUAAAAAGAGUUAGAUUUUGUCGUGUAUUGACCUUAACAGCUUGCAUUUCAAUUUUCUUGCUUUUUUUAAUGCACUUUUCGUUUAACAAGUCAACAUCAGUUUCUUUUGUUGUAAAAAGGUCAUUGGAAGGUGGCAUUCUUUUCGGAGAAAGUGUUUAUAGCCUUUGACUCCUGCAAUCGGAGAGACUGAGGUCUGCAGCGUAGAUCCUUCGGGGUUAGAUACAUUUGUGCUAAGUUAUAGCUUUUUAUAGACAACUUGUUGACUAUGAUUAGUCUUGUAGCUUACUCGCUUAUGCUAUUUUACCUACGCUUAGGAUGUUGACACACGCGCGUGCUCG
This 953-nucleotide ribosomal RNA is filed under the name uncultured Neocallimastigales. RNAcentral's name for it is "partial large subunit ribosomal RNA". The stretch from base 158 to 953 matches the Rfam family "Eukaryotic large subunit ribosomal RNA", at positions 1 to 644 of the family's 3401-position model. Lineage: Eukaryota; Fungi; Neocallimastigomycota; Neocallimastigomycetes; Neocallimastigales. The record is from RNAcentral.